Molecule: non-coding RNA, 24 nt
Filed under: Cricetulus griseus (Chinese hamster)
Lineage: Eukaryota; Metazoa; Chordata; Mammalia; Rodentia; Cricetidae
Source: RNAcentral
CAUACAUGUAGACAGCAAAUUAAA